RNAcentral lists this ribosomal RNA (700 nucleotides) under uncultured bacterium. RNAcentral's name for it is "bacterial SSU rRNA". It matches the Rfam family "Bacterial small subunit ribosomal RNA", at positions 42 to 738 of the family's 1533-position model. The record is from RNAcentral.
UCAGGCCUAACACAUGCAAGUCGAGCGAGAACGGUCCUUCGGGACUCAGUAGAGCGGCGGACGGGUGAGUAACGCGUGGGAAUCUGCCCAGUAGUGGGGGACAACAGUUGGAAACGACUGCUAAUACCGCAUACGCCCUACGGGGGAAAGGAGGGGAUCUUCGGACCUUUCGCUAUUGGAUGAGCCCGCGUCAGAUUAGCUUGUUGGUGGGGUAAUGGCCUACCAAGGCAACGAUCUGUAGCUGGUCUGAGAGGAUGAUCAGUCACACUGGAACUGAGACACGGUCCAGACUCCUACGGGAGGCAGCAGUGGGGAAUAUUGCACAAUGGGGGAAACCCUGAUGCAGCCAUGCCGCGUGUGUGAAGAAGGCUCUAGGGUUGUAAAGCACUUUCAGCAGGGAGGAAAGGGUAGUAGCUAAUAUCUGUUAUCUGUGACGUUACCUGCAGAAGAAGCACCGGCUAACUCCGUGCCAGCAGCCGCGGUAAUACGGAGGGUGCAAGCGUUAAUCGGAAUUACUGGGCGUAAAGCGCGCGUAGGCGGUUACAUAAGUUGGAGGUGAAAUCCCCGGGCUCAACCUGGGAACUGCUUUCAAAACUGUGUGACUUGAGUACAGCAGAGGAUAGUGGAAUUUCUAGUGUAGCGGUGAAAUGCGUAGAUAUUAGAAGGAACACCAGUGGCGAAGGCGACUGUCUGGGCUGAU